AGCCAGACCUGGAGGGCUUGGGUAAAAAUGGCUGAAUAUUUAGCUUCGAUAUUCGGGACUGAGAAGGACAAGGUUAACUGCUCUUUUUACUUUAAGAUCGGGGUCUGCCGGCACGGGGACCGGUGCUCCCGGCUUCACAACAAGCCGACAUUCAGCCAGCCCUGCCCUCUGAGCUCAGGCCCCGCCCCUUUUAAAUUCUGUGCAGACCAUAGUGCUGCUCAACCUGUACCGGAAUCCACAGAACACAGCCCAAACUGCAGACGGAUCACACUGAGGUGUUCACAGAACUGCAGGAGAAGUAUGGGGAGAUUGAAGAGAUGAAUGUGUGCGACAACCUUGGGGACCACCUCGUGGGCAACGUCUAUGUCAAGUUCCGGAGGGAGGAGGAUGGAGAGCGGGCCGUGGCUGAACUCAGUAACCGCUGGUUCAACGGGCAGGCUGUGCACGGGAAUGUACCCGAGGUGGCUUCUGCAACUUCAUGCAUCUGCGGCCCAUUUCCCAGAACCUCCAGAGGCAGCUCUAUGGGCGGGGACCCAGGCGCAGGCUGGAGUGCAAAGGCGCAGUCUUGGCUCAGUGCAACCUCUGCCUCCCAGUAGAGAUGGGGUUUCACCACGUUGGCCAGCCUGGUCUCGAACUCCGGACCUCAGGUCACCCCCGAGGUUCCAUACUGGCCACCAUCCCCGAGAGAGGAACCAUCGGUGUUCCCCUGAUCACUGGCAUGGCCGCUUCUGAGGCCCUGGCCCCCUUACCCUUCACCCCCAACAGGGACAGAUGUUCCUGGCAGGACCUCUCCUCAAAGCCCCCUUCACUCUCCUGCCCCAUCCUUCCCAGGCUCCCGGGCUCCAUAAUGUAAUCUGUUCAGCAUGGAGACCUUCUUCUACCGCCCCUGUCUUAAUAAAGCUGCGUGUUUCACUUCGGCAUCAA
Molecule: RNA transcript, 924 nt
Organism: Homo sapiens (human)
Lineage: Eukaryota; Metazoa; Chordata; Mammalia; Primates; Hominidae
Gene: U2AF1L4
Gene name: U2 small nuclear RNA auxiliary factor 1 like 4
Exons: 9
Source: RefSeq, marked validated